RNAcentral lists this ribosomal RNA (449 nucleotides) under uncultured bacterium. RNAcentral's name for it is "partial 16S ribosomal RNA". It matches the Rfam family "Bacterial small subunit ribosomal RNA", at positions 354 to 796 of the family's 1533-position model. The record is from RNAcentral.
GUCGAGAAUCAUUCACAAUGGGGGAAACCCUGAUGGUGUGACGCCGCGUGGAGGAUGAAGGUCUUCGGAUUGUAAACUCCUGUCAUGUGGGAGUAAAGCCGGGUGUUAAAUGCAUGCCGGUCUGAGAGUACCACAAGAGGAAGGGACGGCUAACUCUGUGCCAGCAGCCGCGGUAAUACAGAGGUCCCAAGCGUUGUUCGGAAUCACUGGGCGUAAAGGGGGCGUAGGCGGCGCGGAAAGUCAGGGGUGAAAUCCCGGAGCUCAACUCCGGAACUGCCUUUGAUACUCCCGCGCUUGAGAACUGGAGGGGAGACCGGAAUUCACGGUGGAGCAGUGAAAUGCGUGGAUAUCGUGAGGAACACUAGUGGCGAAGGCGGGUCUCUGGACAGUAUCUGACGCUGAGGCACGAAGGCCAGGGGAGCGAACGGGAUUAGAAACCCCUGUAGUCC